RNAcentral lists this ribosomal RNA (459 nucleotides) under uncultured bacterium. Its description in RNAcentral is "partial 16S ribosomal RNA". It matches the Rfam family "Bacterial small subunit ribosomal RNA", at positions 338 to 795 of the family's 1533-position model. The record is from RNAcentral.
CCUACGGGUGGCUGCAGUGAGGAAUAUUGGUCAAUGGGUUGGAGCCUGAACCAGCCAAGCCGCGUGAGGGAAGAAGGUACUGCGUAUCGUAAACCUCUUUUGUCAGGGAACAAAGGCGGGGACUAGUCCCCGGAUGAGGGUACCUGAAGAACAAGCAUCGGCUAACUCCGUGCCAGCCGCCGCGGUAAUACCGAGGAUGCGAGCGGUAUCCGGAUUUAUUGGGUUUAAAGGGUGCGCAGGCGGCCUGUUAAGUCAGCGGUAAAAGCCCGGGGCUCAACCCCGGCGAGCCGUUGAAACUGGCGGGCUGGAGUGGGAGAGAAGUAGGCGGAAUGCGCGGUGUAGCGGUGAAAUGCUUAGAUAUCGCGCAGAACCCCGAUUGCGAAGGCAGCGUACCGGCGCCAAACUGACGCUGAGGCACGAAAGCGUGGGUAUCGAACAGGAUUAGAUACCCGAGUAGUC